This 253-nucleotide ribosomal RNA is filed under the name uncultured bacterium. Its description in RNAcentral is "partial 16S ribosomal RNA". It matches the Rfam family "Bacterial small subunit ribosomal RNA", at positions 524 to 776 of the family's 1533-position model. The record is from RNAcentral.
UACGUAGGGGGCAAGCGUUGUCCGGAAUCAUUGGGCGUAAAGAGCGUGUAGGCGGCCAGAUAAGUCCGCUGUGAAAUCUCGAGGCUCAACUUCGAGCUGUCGGUGGAAACUGUCUGGCUAGAGUCCGGAAGAGGAGAAUGGAAUUCCUGGUGUAGCGGUGAAAUGCGCAGAUAUCAGGAAGAACACCCGUGGCGAAGGCGGUUCUCUGGGCCGGUACUGACGCUGAGACGCGAAAGCGUGGGGAGCGAACAGG